UCGCAGCCAAUUAAGCCGACCAACCCAAUUCUCUCAGUGGGGGGCUGGUGUGCAUUUCCCUGGUUGUGUGUGUACCUUGUCCUCAAUAUUCUAAGUAUUCUAAGUAUUCUAAGGGACCUCGGAAACACUU
Trichosurus vulpecula (common brushtail) is the source of this 130-nucleotide small nucleolar RNA. RefSeq annotates it as small nucleolar RNA SNORA70. The record is from RefSeq and is a predicted model, not a curated record. NCBI's taxonomy places the organism in Eukaryota, Metazoa, Chordata, Mammalia, Diprotodontia, Phalangeridae. The transcript has a single exon.